This is a long non-coding RNA of Macrobrachium nipponense, 1577 nucleotides long. RefSeq lists it as uncharacterized. NCBI's taxonomy places the organism in Eukaryota, Metazoa, Arthropoda, Malacostraca, Decapoda, Palaemonidae. The record is from RefSeq and is a predicted model, not a curated record. The transcript has 3 exons.
UUCCGUCUUGGGUUCCACCAAGCCUUGGGUUCCACCUACCGUAAACCGACCUGGCCAACUGACCCUCUUAUCUGCCUCGGUCGCUCCCACAGCGAGUCUGGCCGAAAGUGAGAGUGAAUGCGGCCGCUGUCUGUUCCAGGUGCUUUGGAACGGCGAUGACUUUGGUCGAUGCUCGAGACUCGACAUUUUAAUCGCAGUCUGGAUUCAGUGUGUGUGUAUGUGGUCCCAUAUCCUGUCUCAUGGAAUAAAGCAACCGAGUAAAUAAGGCAGAAUUCAGCGAGAAUCCCAAGACCAGCGAUGAUGGCCUUUGUCAAACUUACUACGUCCCUUCAGGUGCUGAUGACACCCACCACUGUCCUUCUGGUUUCUCUCUUCGUAGGGAGCUGUGGAAAACAUAUUGUUUCAGAUACUGGUGGUCUCAUAUCGGAGGAUUUCCAAAAUCCAGUUUCUACACCAUCUCCUCGACACGGCGAUUUCCCAGCGAACUUCAGCCUCUACCUGCUUCCCCUCAGAUACCCCUUACAGAAUAUGACUGAGCUACAAAUCGACUCCCCCUACAUAAAUGUGGAUUGGGAGCGAUUUUCUCGGUCGAGGGUUGUUGAUUUCUCAGACUCAUCUCGCCUUCCCAGGGCCCAAGAGGAGUUCACGUCUACUUUUGUGGCUAACCCAAACGGGCAAACGAUUUUCUCCUUUGCAUCCAGAUGACUCGCGGUUACAAAAGCCUUUAGCAAAGUUGUCUCAGAUGCCAUCACCUGCCGAAAAUAUUCUCCCAUCAACGGCAGCAGAAGUUCGUCCUAUUUUGCAAAUUGAUCCUUCUCCCUUUGGGACUGAUUCUCUUCCACAAGGUGCUGAUACCCUACUGCGGGCAGCUUAUCCGCUGGCUGCACCAUUUGUGCUCACUCGCAUCACCCCUGUUUUCCCAGUCACUGUUCCCGAUUCUACACCUGAUGUUCCCGAAUUAUCAAAGGACUCAUUUUCAAUAACACAUCCUCUAAAUAUUAAAUCUGAGGACUUACAAGCCUUAGCCAGUCACUCCGAGAGUUCUUUCGUCAAUUAUUUAGAAAAAACAUCAGGAAAACAUUCAGCGUCACUGAUAGACUCCAGAUCCCUCAAAAUCCCCCCAAGAACAACGAAUUUCCUUCUAAUACUCCACCUAAACUGAGGUUCACCAUAGCUAAGGAUUUUCCUCCCAUAGUGAAUGACACUCACGUGUCUCACUUCAUCAUUAUCCAGCCGGACGUAAGAAGUAAAGUAGGCAGCAACUCCAUCACUCCUGGAGUUCCACACUCUUACCGAGAUGACCGAACGAUGUUCGACGAAAUGGACUGCAUCUACGUUUGCCAUGAACGCUCGGAUUCCAACUCGGCGUGCAUUGUUGAUGUUGAGUGUUGCAGCAAACUUUUUGGAAAUAGCGAUAAUUACAAAAAGUGUUUAAAAAUGGAAAUUUUAGCUAAUGCAUUAAAUGAUACUAUGAUACUAACAGAAGGUCUCCUAAAAUAUGGUGUUAAUAGUUAUUAAUGGCCCGGCUUUUCAACAUAGCAAUUAAUAGUACAAAAAUAUACACGCUUAAUUCAAAA